RNAcentral lists this ribosomal RNA (469 nucleotides) under uncultured bacterium. RNAcentral's name for it is "partial 16S ribosomal RNA". It matches the Rfam family "Bacterial small subunit ribosomal RNA", at positions 28 to 507 of the family's 1533-position model. The record is from RNAcentral.
GACGAACGCUGGCGGCGUGCUUAACACAUGCAAGUCGAACGGAAAGGCCCUGCUUGCAGGGUGCUCGAGUGGCGAACGGGUGAGUAACACGUGGGUGAUCUGCCCCUUACUUUGGGAUAAGCCUGGGAAACUGGGUCUAAUACUGGAUAGGACCAUGCUGUAGGUGGUGUGGUGGAAAGAUUAGUUUCGGUAAGGGAUGAGCUCGCGGCCUAUCAGCUUGUUGGUGGGGUAAUGGCCUACCAAGGCGUCGACGGGUAGCCGGCCUGAGAGGGUGGACGGCCACAUUGGGACUGAGAGACGGCCCAGACUCCUACGGGAGGCAGCAGUGGGGAAUAUUGCACAAUGGGCGCAAGCCGGAUGCAGCGACGCCGCGUGGGGGAUGACGGCCUUCGGGUUGUAAACUCCUUUCAGCCAUGACGAAGCCCUUGUGGUGACGGUAGUGGUAGAAGAAGCACCGGCUAACUACGUG